GACGAACCGUGCGAACGUUGUUCGGAAUCACUGGGCUUAAAGGGCGCGUAGGCGGGCCUUCAAGUCCGGGGUGAAAUCCUCCAGCUUAACUGGAGAAGAGCCUCGGAGACUGAGGGCCUCGAGGAGGGUAGGGGCGUGCGGAACUCUGGGUGGAGCGGUGAAAUGCAUUGAUAUCCAGAGGAACUCCGGUGGCGAAGGCGGCACGCUGGACCCUUUCUGACGCUGAGGCGCGAAAGCCAGGGGAGCAAACGGG
RNAcentral lists this ribosomal RNA (253 nucleotides) under uncultured bacterium. RNAcentral describes it as "partial 16S ribosomal RNA". It matches the Rfam family "Bacterial small subunit ribosomal RNA", at positions 524 to 776 of the family's 1533-position model. The record is from RNAcentral.